GGUUAAGCGACUAAGCGUACACGGUGGAUGCCCUGGCAGUCAGAGGCGAUGAAGGACGUGCUAAUCUGCGAUAAGCGUCGGUAAGGUGAUAUGAACCGUUAUAACCGGCGAUUUCCGAAUGGGGAAA
RNAcentral lists this ribosomal RNA (127 nucleotides) under Escherichia coli. RNAcentral's name for it is "partial 23S ribosomal RNA". It matches the Rfam family "Bacterial large subunit ribosomal RNA", at positions 1 to 126 of the family's 2925-position model. RNAcentral also lists the same sequence under 1 other name. Lineage: Bacteria; Pseudomonadati; Pseudomonadota; Gammaproteobacteria; Enterobacterales; Enterobacteriaceae. The record is from RNAcentral.